This 435-nucleotide ribosomal RNA is filed under the name Bacillus sp. IDA234/600. RNAcentral describes it as "bacterial SSU rRNA". It matches the Rfam family "Bacterial small subunit ribosomal RNA", at positions 958 to 1392 of the family's 1533-position model. The record is from RNAcentral. Lineage: Bacteria; Bacillati; Bacillota; Bacilli; Caryophanales; Bacillaceae.
AACGCGAAGAACCUUACCAGGUCUUGACAUCCUCUGACAAUCCUAGAGAUAGGACUUUCCCUUCGGGGACGUAAGUGACAGGUGGUGAUGGUUGUCGUCAGCUCGUGUCGUGAGAUGUUGGGUUAAGUCCCGCAACGAGCGCAACCCUUGAUCUUAGUUGCCAGCAUUCAGUUGGGCACUCUAAGGUGGACUGCCGGUGACAAACCGGAGGAAGGUGGGGUUGACGUCAAAUCAUCAUGCCCCCUAGUACCUGGGCUACACACGUGCUACAAUGGAUGGUACAAAGGGCUGCAAAACCGCGAGGUUAAGCGAUAUCCCAUAAAACCAUUCUCAGUUCGGAUUGUAGGCUGCAACUCGCCUACAUGAAGCUGGAAUCGCUAGUAAUCGCGGAUCAGCAUGCCGCGGUGAAUACGUUCCCGGGUCUUGUACACACCG